Molecule: unclassified non-coding RNA, 1281 nt
Filed under: Leishmania donovani
Lineage: Eukaryota; Euglenozoa; Kinetoplastea; Trypanosomatida; Trypanosomatidae
Description: gene:unknown
Source: RNAcentral
CCGCUUCCGUUUUUUUUUCCUUCUUGCCUCCCUUGUCCUUCUCUCUCCUCGACUUUGGCGUUGCUUGCCGUUCAGCGACGCGGUCGCUCUCAGCCUCUCUCUCUGACUGGGCUCGUGAUGCCUUUUACCCUCGCAUUUGCCGCACUUCUGCAUAAGCGUCCCUCUAUCCUGUGUGCGUGUGUUCGCUCUAGUCCUUUCUUGGUUUUUCUGUUGCGUUGCUAUGGUUGCGUCUUGCUUGCGCAUCGCUUGCUGGUUCGCUGCGUUGCCUCCCUCCCUCUCUCUCCUUGUCUGAGAUGCGUGUGGGCGCGCUUGUCGAUCGUCAGGUUUUGGCUCAAGGAUGACAGCUCUAGAAGCAUGAGAGGCCGUCCUUUUGCACUUCCUUGAUGAGGGCAUGCGCUGCUGUCCGCAUGUUUGCACGCGCAGGAGCAGGGGCGGGCUCGAUGAAUGGCAUCGAUUAGUGUGUGGCGCGCUUCAUCCCUCUUUUCUUCCCUCCUUCAUUCUUCUUUUCCUCUGCGGAUUUUUGUUUCUUGUCUCCCAUCCGAGGAACAGCGGGCGGUUGAAGUGCGCCACCCAGGCGCGUGCCGUUGCUCUCUCUCUCUGUGCGCCUGUCUUGCACGUUGCCUGUGGCUUUCCCUCCUUUCGCUUGUCUUCCAUUCUUUUCUAGAUCUGCAUCCUACACCAGAGCCGAGUCUUUGUGUUCUCCCUCUUCUCCCUUUUACUGACGUGUCGAUGAACCGCACUCUUGUCGCACAAAACAGAUGCACACAUCCCAACGACACACACAGGCACGGUGCUUCGUCGCGUUCGUGCGCUGCGCCGCUGCCUGCACGCUUUCCUUUCCCUCCCCAAAUGCGCUUUUUCACGCACCCAGCGCUCUGGAUCCAUCGGCUGAGAAGUGGGAAACGUGCGAGCGACAGGGGAGAGAACGGGCCAAGCGGCACUUGCGCAGAUGAGGGCAUCGGCUUCUGUGCAGCUCAGUGCAGGAGUGCAGUACUCCUGCUCACAUCAUCCCCGCACACGCUCAUGCGCGCUUCCUCUUUCCCGGUCUUUUAGACUUCUCCCCUCCCCUCGCAGGCACUCCACGGUUUCGGUGAAGGGGCAGCAGGGCUGCAGAGCGAGUUUGAUGCUAUCGAAAGGUUUACCAGAUGCCGCGCUCCGAAGGAGAUGGAACUCUCUCCUCCCAGCGCGGGACAUGCGACAGCACACACACACACAUGCUGCUCUUUGCCUCUUCCUUCUUUGUUCUCCACUUCUGUUUUCUCUCUGCAUUUUCUCGCACAG